CGCCGGAAUAGCUCAGUUGGUAGAGCAGAGGACUGAAAAUCCUCGUGUC
This 49-nucleotide transfer RNA is filed under the name Solenostoma obovatum. RNAcentral's name for it is "partial tRNA-Phe". It matches the Rfam family "tRNA", at positions 1 to 46 of the family's 71-position model. From Rfam's summary of the family: Transfer RNA (tRNA) molecules are approximately 80 nucleotides in length. Their secondary structure includes four short double-helical elements and three loops (D, anti-codon, and T loops). The record is from RNAcentral. Lineage: Eukaryota; Viridiplantae; Streptophyta; Jungermanniopsida; Jungermanniales; Solenostomataceae.